AUGGCAGGGCGUACCUCCAGCAAAGACAACUCAUUCCAGGUCAUCAACAUCGACAUCUCCUACUACUGCAUUUGUGACACUGAGGUCAACAUUAAUGCCUCCUCCGACCUUGGCCUCACGCCCUUCCGCAUUAGCGCGACCAACCAAGAGCUAUUCUUCCUCAACAAAUGCACCAAGCUCCGGUCACAGCCGCCACCACCUGCGUGGGCGCCUGUCAACUGCUUGGAUGGAUUCACCUUGCCGACGUCCAACUCAUUCACAUGGCUUGCCGGAGCGUACAAGCCCAACGACCAUCGGAGUCCGGUGCCAGUGGGCUGCAGGGUGUCCAUGAUGUCGGUGCUGGGGUACGAGGGCGCUUCCGGGAAGGACUACGGGUGGCUGAUGCAGGGCGGGUUUCUUCUGGAGUACAUGGUGGGUGACUGCAAGGCGUGCGAGGAGAGUGGAGGGCUUUGCCUGAUUAAUAAGACCAACGAUAUCUUCGAGUGGCACUGCACAGACCACGUGUCUCCGUCCAACAUCUGCGGUAGCGAGAAGAGAGGGAAGAAGAUUAUGGUAAUAGGCAUGGUAUGA
This 570-nucleotide ribosomal RNA is filed under the name Triticum aestivum (bread wheat). RNAcentral describes it as "partial small subunit ribosomal RNA". The record is from RNAcentral. Lineage: Eukaryota; Viridiplantae; Streptophyta; Magnoliopsida; Poales; Poaceae.